AUCUCCAGAUAUAAUGAGGGAAA
RNAcentral lists this microRNA (23 nucleotides) under Pristionchus pacificus. RNAcentral's name for it is "ppc-miR-8250d-3p". Lineage: Eukaryota; Metazoa; Nematoda; Chromadorea; Rhabditida; Neodiplogasteridae. The record is from miRBase by way of RNAcentral.